UACGUAGGGUGCGAGCAUUGUCCGGAAUUAUUGGGCGUAAAGAGCUCGUAGGCGGUGUGUCACGUCGUUCGUGAAAACCUGCAGCUUAACUGUGGGCGUGCGGUCGAUACGGGCAUCACUGGAGUUCGGCAGGGGAGACUGGAAUUCCUGGUGUAGCGGUGAAAUGCGCAGAUAUCAGGAGGAACACCGGUGGCGAAGGCGGGUCUCUGGGCCGAUACUGACGCUGAGGAGCGAAAGCGUGGGGAGCAAACAGG
This 254-nucleotide ribosomal RNA is filed under the name uncultured bacterium. Its description in RNAcentral is "partial 16S ribosomal RNA". It matches the Rfam family "Bacterial small subunit ribosomal RNA", at positions 524 to 776 of the family's 1533-position model. The record is from RNAcentral.